CAGUAGCCGCGGGAAUACAGAGGCCUCAAGCGUUGUUCGGAUUCAUUGGGCGUAAAGGGCUCGCAGGCGGUUUCUUAAGUCUGAUGUGAAAGCCCCCGGCUCAACCGGGGAGGGUCAUUGGAAACUGGGAAACUUGAGUGCAGAAGAGGAGAGUGGAAUUCCACGUGUAGCGGUGAAAUGCGUAGAGAUGUGGAGGAACACCAGUGGCGAAGGCGACUCUCUGGUCUGUAACUGACGCUGAGGAGCGAAAGCGUGGGGAGCGAACAGGAUUAGAUACCCCGGUAGUCCCUGUCUCUUAUAA
This 301-nucleotide ribosomal RNA is filed under the name uncultured bacterium. RNAcentral describes it as "partial 16S ribosomal RNA". It matches the Rfam family "Bacterial small subunit ribosomal RNA", at positions 509 to 809 of the family's 1533-position model. The record is from RNAcentral.